UACGUAGGUAGCAAGCGUUGUCCGGAAUCAUUGGGCGUAAAGCGCGCGUAGGCGGCCCGGUCAGUCCGUCGUGAAAGUCAAAGGCUCAACCUUUGAAUGUCGAUGGAUACUGCCGGGCUAGAGUCCGGAAGAGGCGAGUGGAAUUCCUGGUGUAGCGGUGGAAUGCGCAGAUAUCAGGAGGAACACCAAUAGCGAAGGCAGCUCGCUGGGACGGUACUGACGCUAAGGCGCGAAAGCGUGGGGAGCGAACAGG
This 253-nucleotide ribosomal RNA is filed under the name uncultured bacterium. Its description in RNAcentral is "partial 16S ribosomal RNA". It matches the Rfam family "Bacterial small subunit ribosomal RNA", at positions 524 to 776 of the family's 1533-position model. The record is from RNAcentral.